GGUGUUAAAACCAGCGACUAAUCACAAUCCAGACCAGUUUCGGAAUACCUGUGGAUUGGCUACGUGGACUUCGAACACCUCCCUCCGGUCUACUCUGUCCUCACUCCUCCUGGCUGCGAAAUUUCUUGCCUAUAUAAAGAGAAAUGCAUCAGAACUGCGCAACAGUUCGGGAGUUCAUUUGAGUUCUUGAUUUUAUCAGCAAACUUCUCCGCGAGUUCAGUCCUCUCAGUGUUAAAUUUCAUUUUACAGAAGAUCUCGCAGUGAAAUCUGAACAGUCCUGUCACCUGUGUCAAAUUCCUUAACGGCCAACGUUCAAGAUCAGAACCGUAAUUUUGCUGCGGAGCAGCGCCGCCUUCGUCAAGAAAUCGACCGACUGCGAGACACUGAAGCCACAAUGAAGGAGCAUCUGGAGAACCAGGCCCAGCAGUGGGAACUGGAUGCCGUGAACGUCCCGUUUCAGUGGGCCGUGGAUAUGUUCCUCUUCCUGGAGACGCGGGACGAGCGACUGGAGAAAGGGCUCGAGCUGCUGGAGUCGAAAGUGAGCGGACAAUUGGUGGACGUCAACGCCAGACUGGGUGGUAUCGAAGCCCGACAGCUGGAGCUAAUGACUAUUGUGAAGGAUAUUAAUGGCAAACUGGACAAAUUGUUGUCUAAUAACUAAUAAGUAAUAUCAGUACAAAGGUGUUUGUUUGCUGAUUUUGAAAUAGUCUACUGUCUGUAGUUUGUCCAGCUUCAGUUCGAAUGUGAUGACCUAAAAAAAUCCAACCGGCUUUGCUCGCAUAGUGAUUGUUUACUGAUUAGCUGUAUAAUCACUUGAAAUUAGAAAGCAAACACAUUCCACUUGAA
Paramacrobiotus metropolitanus is the source of this 846-nucleotide RNA transcript. RefSeq lists it as uncharacterized. Lineage: Eukaryota; Metazoa; Tardigrada; Eutardigrada; Parachela; Macrobiotidae. The record is from RefSeq and is a predicted model, not a curated record. The transcript has 3 exons.